CCCAGACCAGAGAGGUUAGAGUACAUCCCAGACCAGAGAGGUUAGAGUACAUCCCAGACCAGAGAGGUUAGAGUACAUCCCAGACCAGAGAGAUUAGAGUACAUCCCAGACCAGAGAGGUUAGAGUACAUCCCAGAUCAGAGAGGUUAGAGUACAUCCCAGACCAGAGAGGUUAGAGUACAUCCCAGACCAGAGAGGUUAGAGUACAUCCCAUUCCCUAUAUAAUGCACUUCUUUAGACCAGAACUCCCAUUGCAGACGGAACAAAACCGAGAAGGCCCUAGCUAUCUGAUGUACCAGGUGCAGCCAACCAGAGCAGGCCCUAGCUAUCUGAUGUACCAGACUCAGCCAAACAGAGCAGGCCCUAGCUAUCUG
Long non-coding RNA from Oncorhynchus tshawytscha (Chinook salmon), 373 nucleotides. The record is from Ensembl. NCBI's taxonomy places the organism in Eukaryota, Metazoa, Chordata, Actinopteri, Salmoniformes, Salmonidae.